GUUUUUCUAUGCCCCAGAGUCCCUAGUAGCGUCAAUAAAAAUUGAGUAAUUUUGCACCCGUGUGAAGCCUAUACUUCAUAUCUUGUAUAAUUUGUGCGGCAGGGAGGUAGCCCUGCGGAAGAAUGGAGCCCCAGAUUAUUGUUUCCAAAUGUGUGGCAUGGAUCCUUUACUACUUUACUAAGAGAGUUUGUGGGAAAAACAUAUGAAAAGUAAUAAAAUAUUAAGUAAGUAAAGUAAGAAUGUAUAAUAUUGUACAAUGCAGUCGUUUACUUGGUCCAGACUGAAUGGAGACAUAAUCUAUAAACUGGGCAUAAACACAAAAUAUUGGUAGUAGAGUUGAUAAUGUGGAAUAGAUAGACCUUUAUGCUGGAUCAAACAUUACUUCACAUCUGGGUUUAUAUGUAACUUACUUCCAGAGAAAAGUGCUAAAGAUCCCUUUUUAAAAUAAGAUAAGAUAAGUUUGAGAAUAUGAGAAUAUGAUCUGAUUGACUGACUUCACUGUUCCAGCCAAAAUGAACUGCAUGUACUCUUAAACGUCUAGCAAGCCCUAUAAAGGACUUGAUAGAAGCAUUUCUAAUCAUUUUUUAGGCAGUCAUCAUGUUUCAUGGAUUCUGUUUCUUGUGUGGUUGUGAUUAUUUUUUUUAUUAAAAUUGCAUUGCAUCAGAUAAAGGAUUUUUAUGUGAAUUGAUUCUUAUAUCCAAAGGCAGAAGAUCAGGGUGGAGAUAAUAACAUUCUGAGUGGAAUAGAGAACAAAAAAUAGCAAUAUAACUGUAUAAUUUUAAAUAACUAAAAAAUAGACAUUUGGAUCUUUCUAUUCCGUUCUCUUUAGGUUUCUAUGUAGUGUUUCCUAUAGGAAUUAUAUUUCUACUAUAAAUCAAUACAUCUUCAGAUACCAGCACCCAAGUCAUUUGUUAGUGUGCCACUCAUUUGUUAAGUGUCCAUUCCUAUAUGCAGCCAUUAAGAAAGCAGUAUUAGGAGCACAGGCCAUUGUGCCAACAGACACCUUAAUUUACAGAUCACGUCAGGAGUUGGGGAAAGGUGUUUUUAUGUAAAAGUAAAGAGAAGGUGCCUCACUAACAUAGGUCUACAUUCUGUCUCUGGAUUACACAUUUUUAAACAUAUAUAUUAUUGCUUCAGCUUAAUCCUUCCAGCAGUCUACCAUAGAGUUCUUCAGACUUGUCCCAGAAUCCACCAAUACACCAGAAAUUCAAUAUCUACUUGCUUCAGCAGAGGUGAGCGAAUCAUUAGCUCAUGGUUAUCUCACAACAUGGUCUGUUAGUGAGUCCAGCGGACAGGUUUGUAGAACAAUGACCAUCGAUAUUGGAAUACACAACUGGUCUGUAGUAACUGAAUAUAUAUAUUACUGUGCUAGACUUUUGUAUUGUUUUUUUUUUUUUACUUGGGUAGUAAAAGGAAGGGGGUGUAACGCUGACACUUGAGGUUACAAACAACUCAUUAAAUACAACAUACAACAUUGUUUGACAAACAAAGCGCAACAUGAUAGAGAUGAGUCAUAUGGGUUCAACCACAUUAUUGCGCAAUCUUGGGGUUUGGAGUUGAUCACUUUAAAUGUGGUGAUGGUGACAAGGAUACUCAGGGAUAUUUACCAAAAAAAUAAAGUCUCUGUGGGUUUUUAUGGAUGUUACACGAUUCCAGCCAGUCACACUACCUGCAGCCAGGGCCCGUCUGUAGAUUGCAGGGCAGCUCGUUCUCAGAUAAUAGUCUCACAAGUAAACCAGUCUUAAAUCUCAAAUAAGAGUUAUCGAAUAUUGAAUAUGUCGUCUUCUGGAGCGUCUCUCCUGCCACAAUUGCCACAGUAUCAAGGCAGGGAUAAGUGCUAAUAUCAGGCAUAUAUUUCCUUGUGCAUUUGCUUGCUGAAAUGCAAGUACCUGUUUAAUUAAUGGAUAAAUGUAGGUAUAAGUAUUUAUACAUACAUUUGCCGUGUGUGUAUGUUGGAUGUCUUGUAUAAUAAUAACAGAGGCUUUUAUUACAUGGAAUGUGGCACACAAUGGCUUGUGACCUUAGAGGGGUAUGAUGUAAAUGUAUUUUUGCCACAAUAUAUGUAAUCU
Non-coding RNA from Pelobates cultripes (western spadefoot toad), 2069 nucleotides. Lineage: Eukaryota; Metazoa; Chordata; Amphibia; Anura; Pelobatidae. The record is from the annotation of a GenBank genome assembly.